GUAGGUGGCAAGCGUUGUCCGGAAUUAUUGGGCGUAAAGCGCGCGCAGGUGGUUCUUUAAGUCUGAUGUGAAAGCCCCCGGCUCAACCGGGGAGGGUCAUUGGAAACUGGGGAACUUGAGUGCAGGAGAGGAAAGUGGAAUUCCACGUGUAGCGGUGAAAUGCGUAGAUAUGUGGAGGAACACCAGUGGCGGAGGCGACUUUCUGGCCUGUAACUGACACUGAGGCGCGAAAGCGUGGGGAGCAAACAGGGAUUAGAUACCCUGGUAGUCCACGCCGUAAACGAUGAGUGCUAAGUGUUGGGGGGGUUUCCCGCCCCUCAGUGCUGCAGCUAACGCAUUAAGCACUCCGCCUGGGGAGUACGGUCGCAAGACUG
This 374-nucleotide ribosomal RNA is filed under the name uncultured organism. RNAcentral describes it as "partial 16S ribosomal RNA". It matches the Rfam family "Bacterial small subunit ribosomal RNA", at positions 527 to 896 of the family's 1533-position model. The record is from RNAcentral.